Long non-coding RNA from Nerophis ophidion (straightnose pipefish), 671 nucleotides. RefSeq lists it as uncharacterized. NCBI's taxonomy places the organism in Eukaryota, Metazoa, Chordata, Actinopteri, Syngnathiformes, Syngnathidae. The record is from RefSeq and is a predicted model, not a curated record. The transcript is spliced from 6 exons.
CAUUUUCUAAAGUGGACAAUAAUUGUUGUGACACUUCCCUUUUGGUCCACGACGUCACCGUGAGAGGUAGACGUUGCAAAGAGUAUUUAUCGUCUCAUUAAAAUAACUUAAGACGCAUCGCCGCGAGUAUUGUGCAGCUGAGCACCGACCCCUGGUGUCGGGCGAGUGUAUUACAUCCUCCAGAGAUGAACAUAGACACGUUCUGCUACUGCGUACUGGCGCUGACGAGACGCGGGGCCGCCAUCUUGGAGUGGUGAUCCAGGUUAUAUAUACAAUGCGCCGUGAUUGCAGUUAUUGAGGGAGCGCAUAUUUUCUUCAUUGGCUUGUCUGCAUUCUAAACAGACUUCAGGAAUCUCGCCGAUUGUCUUCUUUGUCGGAGGAAUGAUGAGGACCGGUUGCAGGUAUUUUGCAUGUUUCCGUAGUCUCCUGUAACUCCUCCCCUUCCUCCUCACUUCCCUCUUGCGAUGCUGAGGUUUCCGUAGUCUCCUGUAACUCCUCCCCUUCCUCCUCACUUCCUGCUUGCGAUGCUGAGGAAGCAGAGCGAUACAAGGAGUCACAUAUAUGUCCAUCCAUCCAUUUUCCACCGCUUAUUCCCUUUGGGGUCACGAUGGCGCUGGUGCCUAUUUCAGCUUCAAUCGGGCGGAAGGCGGUGUACAUCCUGGACAAGCCGC